This 440-nucleotide ribosomal RNA is filed under the name uncultured bacterium. RNAcentral's name for it is "partial 16S ribosomal RNA". It matches the Rfam family "Bacterial small subunit ribosomal RNA", at positions 338 to 795 of the family's 1533-position model. The record is from RNAcentral.
CCUACGGGAGGCUGCAGUGGGGAAUAUUGCACAAUGGGGGAAACCCUGAUGCAGCGACGCCGCGUGAGUGAUGAAGUAUUUCGGUAUGUAAAGCUCUAUCAGCAGGGAAGAUAAUGACGGUACCUGACUAAGAAGCUCCGGCUAAAUACGUGCCAGCAGCCGCGGUAAUACGUAUGGAGCAAGCGUUAUCCGGAUUUACUGGGGGUAAAGGGGGCGCAGGCGGCAGGGCAAGUCUGAUGUGAAAGUCCGGGGGUCAACCCCGGGACUGCAGUGGAAACUGUCCGGCUAGAGUGCAGGAGAGGUAAGUGGAAUGCCUAGUGUAGCGGUGAAAUGCGUAGAUAUUAGGAGGAACACCAGUGGCGAAGGCGGCUUACUGGACUGUAACUGACGUUGAGGCUCGAAAGCGUGGGGAGCAAACAGGAUUAGAUACCCGAGUAGUC